AGAUUAAGUUAUUAAGGGCGCACGGUGGAUGCCUUGGCACUAGAAGCCGAUGAAGGACGUUACUAACGACGAUAUGCUUUGGGGAGCUGUAAGUAAGCUUUGAUCCAGAGAUUUCCGAAUGGGGAAACCCAGCAUGAGUUAUGUCAUGUUAUCGAUAUGUGAAUACAUAGCAUAUCAGAAGGCACACCCGGAGAACUGAAACAUCUUAGUACCCGGAGGAAGAGAAAGAAAAUUCGAUUCCCUUAGUAGCGGCGAGCGAAACGGGAAGAGCCCAAACCAACAAGCUUGCUUGUUGGGGUUGUAGGACACUCUAUACGGAGUUACAAAGGACGACAUUAGACGAAUCAUCUGGAAAGAUGAAUCAAAGAAGGUAAUAAUCCUGUAGUCGAAAAUGUUGUCUCUCUUGAGUGGAUCCUGAGUACGACGGAGCACGUGAAAUUCCGUCGGAAUCUGGGAGGACCAUCUCCUAAGGCUAAAUACUCUCUAGUGACCGAUAGUGAACCAGUACCGUGAGGGAAAGGUGAAAAGCACCCCGGAAGGGGAGUGAAAUAGAACCUGAAACCGUGUGCUUACAAGUAGUCAGAGCCCGUUAAUGGGUGAUGGCGUGCCUUUUGUAGAAUGAACCGGCGAGUUACGAUUUGAUGCAAGGUUAAGCAGUAAAUGUGGAGCCGUAGCGAAAGCGAGUCUGAAUAGGGCGUUUAGUAUUUGGUCGUAGACCCGAAACCAGGUGAUCUACCCUUGGUCAGGUUGAAGUUCAGGUAACACUGAAUGGAGGACCGAACCGACUUACGUUGAAAAGUGAGCGGAUGAACUGAGGGUAGCGGAGAAAUUCCAAUCGAACCUGGAGAUAGCUGGUUCUCUCCGAAAUAGCUUUAGGGCUAGCCUCAAGUGAUGAUUAUUGGAGGUAGAGCACUGUUUGGACGAGGGGCCCCUCUCGGGUUACCGAAUUCAGACAAACUCCGAAUGCCAAUUAAUUUAACUUGGGAGUCAGAACAUGGGUGAUAAGGUCCGUGUUCGAAAGGGAAACAGCCCAGACCACCAGCUAAGGUCCCAAAAUAUAUGUUAAGUGGAAAAGGAUGUGGCGUUGCCCAGACAACUAGGAUGUUGGCUUAGAAGCAGCCAUCAUUUAAAGAGUGCGUAAUAGCUCACUAGUCGAGUGACACUGCGCCGAAAAUGUACCGGGGCUAAACAUAUUACCGAAGCUGUGGAUUGUCCUUUGGACAAUGGUAGGAGAGCGUUCUAAGGGCGUUGAAUCAUGAUCGUAAGGACAUGUGGAGCGCUUAGAAGUGAGAAUGCCGGUGUGAGUAGCGAAAGACGGGUGAGAAUCCCGUCCACCGAUUGACUAAGGUUUCCAGAGGAAGGCUCGUCCGCUCUGGGUUAGUCGGGUCCUAAGCUGAGGCCGACAGGCGUAGGCGAUGGAUAACAGGUUGAUAUUCCUGUACCACCUAUAAUCGUUUUAAUCGAUGGGGGGACGCAGUAGGAUAGGCGAAGCGUGCGAUUGGAUUGCACGUCUAAGCAGUAAGGCUGAGUAUUAGGCAAAUCCGGUACUCGUUAAGGCUGAGCUGUGAUGGGGAGAAGACAUUGUGUCUUCGAGUCGUUGAUUUCACACUGCCGAGAAAAGCCUCUAGAUAGAAAAUAGGUGCCCGUACCGCAAACCGACACAGGUAGUCAAGAUGAGAAUUCUAAGGUGAGCGAGCGAACUCUCGUUAAGGAACUCGGCAAAAUGACCCCGUAACUUCGGGAGAAGGGGUGCUCUUUAGGGUUAACGCCCAGAAGAGCCGCAGUGAAUAGGCCCAAGCGACUGUUUAUCAAAAACACAGGUCUCUGCUAAACCGUAAGGUGAUGUAUAGGGGCUGACGCCUGCCCGGUGCUGGAAGGUUAAGAGGAGUGGUUAGCUUCUGCGAAGCUACGAAUCGAAGCCCCAGUAAACGGCGGCCGUAACUAUAACGGUCCUAAGGUAGCGAAAUUCCUUGUCGGGUAAGUUCCGACCCGCACGAAAGGCGUAACGAUUUGGGCACUGUCUCAACGAGAGACUCGGUGAAAUCAUAGUACCUGUGAAGAUGCAGGUUACCCGCGACAGGACGGAAAGACCCCGUGGAGCUUUACUGUAGCCUGAUAUUGAAAUUCGGCACAGCUUGUACAGGAUAGGUAGGAGCCUUUGAAACGUGAGCGCUAGCUUACGUGGAGGCGCUGGUGGGAUACUACCCUAGCUGUGUUGGCUUUCUAACCCGCACCACUUAUCGUGGUGGGAGACAGUGUCAGGCGGGCAGUUUGACUGGGGCGGUCGCCUCCUAAAAGGUAACGGAGGCGCUCAAAGGUUCCCUCAGAAUGGUUGGAAAUCAUUCAUAGAGUGUAAAGGCAUAAGGGAGCUUGACUGCGAGACCUACAAGUCGAGCAGGGUCGAAAGACGGACUUAGUGAUCCGGUGGUUCCGCAUGGAAGGGCCAUCGCUCAACGGAUAAAAGCUACCCCGGGGAUAACAGGCUUAUCUCCCCCAAGAGUUCACAUCGACGGGGAGGUUUGGCACCUCGAUGUCGGCUCAUCGCAUCCUGGGGCUGUAGUCGGUCCCAAGGGUUGGGCUGUUCGCCCAUUAAAGCGGUACGCGAGCUGGGUUCAGAACGUCGUGAGACAGUUCGGUCCCUAUCCGUCGUGGGCGUAGGAAAUUUGAGAGGAGCUGUCCUUAGUACGAGAGGACCGGGAUGGACAUACCUCUGGUGUACCAGUUGUCGUGCCAACGGCAUAGCUGGGUAGCUAUGUGUGGACGGGAUAAGUGCUGAAAGCAUCUAAGCAUGAAGCCCCCCUCAAGAUGAGAUUUCCCAACUUCGGUUAUAAGAUCCCUCAAAGAUGAUGAGGUUAAUAGGUUCGAGGUGGAAGCAUGGUGACAUGUGGAGCUGACGAAUACUAAUCGAUCGAAGACUUAAUCAAAUU
Molecule: ribosomal RNA, 2927 nt
Filed under: Staphylococcus aureus
Lineage: Bacteria; Bacillati; Bacillota; Bacilli; Caryophanales; Staphylococcaceae
Description: 23S ribosomal RNA
Rfam family: Bacterial large subunit ribosomal RNA
Source: RNAcentral